Long non-coding RNA from Pectinophora gossypiella (pink bollworm), 2895 nucleotides. RefSeq lists it as uncharacterized. The transcript has 2 exons. Lineage: Eukaryota; Metazoa; Arthropoda; Insecta; Lepidoptera; Gelechiidae. The record is from RefSeq and is a predicted model, not a curated record.
AUGUAUACACUUUGGUACCAUGUCACAUUAACUUUUUUGACAAAUUGAACUGUAAGUCUCACUAAAUGUCAAAUACGUUAGUGCGACAGAGUCCUAAAGUGGGUACAUUACAUUGCUCAUGACUGUACCUGUGUGCUCCUACGCUAUAUAUUUUUUAUUUCAUAAUCGCCCCCGAUGACGUUCAGUUAUGGCCGACUACUGUUUUAUACUUAACGUCAUAAGGGAUCCAUUUUGCUUCAGUCCAAGUUUCAUUUAAUUUAAGAAAGUUUUCUUGCAUGUGUAUCAUUCUUUUUAAUAAUAGUUUCAGAGUUAUUUAGGGGCCAAAUUGUGUAUAUAAAAUGAGUCCUAAUCCUUUUACGUAAGGCUCAAAGCCAGUCGUGUAGUGCCUUAAGUAACUUGAUCAUUUUAUGCCGUAAUAUUUUAUCUGUAGCCGUCGCAUGGACGUAUAUGACGCGCGACGCCAUAAAUAAAUAUGCGAUAAACAAAGUGACGCGAGAUAUGCGGUGUUCGUGCUACAGCUAUUGUAUGCAUGAAUAUUAUGUGUUGUUUAAAAGCCCCAAUGGACAGAUUUUUAAUGAUCAAGUUAAUAGUUACAGAACAACACAGUUUAGUUUCAAAAGAUUGCGUUGAAAGAAACGGUUUGACGAUAAUUAACUUACAUUACUGUUUUUAUAUAUCUUUGGCUCAGUUAUUAAGGAUUUAAAUAAUGUCGUGGCCAGAUCUUAGAAUUGAUCAUUUCAUGAUGUGUUCGACCAUUUCAUGAAAUGGUCAUAUUUCAUGAAAUAGCCAAUUUAAGUUGACCGUAUUGUUGAAACAUCGACAUUUAAUGAUAUUUCAAUCAAUGUUUGGCCAUAUCGUUAAUGCAGGCGGUGUCCAUGUUAUGUGGUGUUAUAAAAAUGCGAAUAGUCGAUUAAUUUAUUUACCUACUCGAUAUGGAAAAUUGUACAAAUUACAUUCAUUCAUCGAUUAUAAUAACAAACAAGUUUUAAAUAUAAUUAUCACCAGCGCCACUACCGGUGGAUAUUGUUACUAAUUUUACGAUAUGAUUGCCAACGUUUGGCCAUAUCAUGAAAUAAUUAUGCAUUAGUUGCUCAGAUCGUUAAACGUUUUGUGUUCAUUGAUCUGGCCAAACUACAUCAUGAUGUGGCCAACGAAUGAUUUUUUAUUUAAUGAAAUGAUCAAUUCUAAGAUCUGGCCACAUAAUAAUAUACAUAAUAGUUUUAUUUAAAUGCGUCUUAUUAUAUAGUCAUGAAACUAAAAAGGCCGCGGCAGAACACAGCCUUUUUUUCUUAGUACAUUCUAAGAUCGUAUUUUUUUCAUAUCUUGUUUCAUACUUUGUGAACUUAAUUUGUGUUGUACUGUAAAUAGGUACGUCUGUAAAUAGUCAUCAUAGAUGAUUGAUUUCUGUUAUGUGAUAAGUAUCAUGGUAGAAUAACUUUAGGUAUAUUUAUUUUUUUGUCAUCUUUGUUAUCAAAUGUCCCAAAAAUUCAUUAAUUGUUCCAUUGAACACUUUCGAUUUGUCUAAGUCUUUAAUAAAUGCCGUUUAAAGAAACACACAAACAAAUUUGUAUUAAAUAAAUAAUAUCAAAAAAUAAAUUACAAGAUUACUAGAAGCAGGUACCUAGACGCGACAAGUAUUAGCAGGGUUCGACAAAUAGACGCUGCGAGUUUAUCUACGUAGACAUCAUACUGUGUUAUAUUCAAUUUGACAGUGUAAGUCGAGGCGCUCCCCGUUUGAGAAGCAAGCCGGUAUAAAUUUUAUUCCCAAUUGGGUAAUCAGACGUACGUCGAUUGCAUGAUGUACUAAGCACCUAAGCCUCACCAGUUUCUAUUAGACCAAUGUGAUGGGUUCAUAACUCUAGUUAUUCUACCAUGAAAACCAUGUUAAUGUUCCCUUAUUUGAAUGUGUUUGGAAGUGACGAUCUAGUCUGUAGAUUGUUGAGUCGGACUUUUAGAGUAGAAUGGAAUGCGAACCAAAAUGUACACGUAUUGUAUGCACGGAACAGAAGAAUGAGGUUGGAAAGGCCCUAACGCGCAUUUUGUAUGAGAACCGCUGUCGCCGGUUCAACCCCACUCUCUUUUUCUACUACUCCUGCAAACAGAUAACUACGAUAGCUCUACUGCUUUUCAAAUUCCAUAGCCACUUCACCGACAAUGUACCUAUAUUUUAUGUGAUAGGAACCAAUUUUGUCAUUACUUUUCGUAAGAUACUGCACACAAAAGAUUUUUCUUUUUGAUAAAUAACAGAUCAUACUAAGGUUUUUACCUUUUCUGUGCCCUGUAGGUUAUAAUGCACAUGACGACCUUUUGAUAUGCUAUCGUGAAGCUCCGUGCAACGUAAAGUUUGUGGACGAGUGGAGUGCAAAGUUGAAGUAUGAACUAUUUGCUCAUACUUGUAGGUAUAUGCGUAUUUCGGGCUCACUUGGCCUUUCCAACGUCUUUCUACUAUUCCAUGAUUGUAUGCAUAUGCUUAGCAUUCUCUAAAUAUAGGAUUAAUUAGUAAAAAGUUAAAAACGAUUCAGUAAAAAGGGCGUCAUUUUAUACGUGGCAUAUAGGCCAAGUAAAUAGGCAUGCAUGCCUAACCUGUGUUUAAAAGCCGUCGUAAAUAGUUCGUAUGUUUUGGUUCGUACAAUAUUUAUGUAUUAAAAGUUAAUCCAGAAAAAUUAAAUACUCAAGACGUCUUAAUAAAGUAACACCAAUUGUAAUCGUUAAAUUAAUAUAAAUUGUAAUAUAUAAAAUCUUAUAAGCUAGAAACCAAAGUUUUAUAUUUUUGGCUGAAAAAGUUUAUCUAUAUAGAAUAUAUUUGUUGUGUAGUCUGUUUUAAUAGUUAUAAUGCCAACGCUUGGUAAUAGACAAUCAAGUUACAUGAAAUAAUAAUCACUUAUUUCAAAAUUA